This 253-nucleotide ribosomal RNA is filed under the name uncultured bacterium. RNAcentral's name for it is "partial 16S ribosomal RNA". It matches the Rfam family "Bacterial small subunit ribosomal RNA", at positions 524 to 776 of the family's 1533-position model. The record is from RNAcentral.
UACAGAGGUCUCAAGCGUUGUUCGGAUUCAUUGGGCGUAAAGGGUGCGUAGGUGGCAUGGUAAGUCGGAUGUGAAAUCCCGGGGCUCAACCCCGGAACUGCAUUCGAUACUGCUGCGCCAGAGUACUGGAGAGGAGAUUGGAAUUUACGGUGUAGCAGUGAAAUGCGUAGAUAUCGUAAGGAAGACCAGUGGCGAAGGCGGAUCUCUGGACAGUUACUGACACUGAGGCACGAAGGCCAGGGGAGCAAACGGG